UUCCGGUUGAUCCUGCCGGACCUGACUGCUAUCGGAUUGAUACUAAGCCAUGCGAGUCAUUGUAGCAAUACAAGGCAUACGGCUCAGUAACGCGUAGUCAACCUAACCUAUGGACGGGAAUAACCUCGGGAAACUGAGAAUAAUGCCCGAUAGAACAUUAUGCCUGGAAUGGUUUAUGUUCCAAAUGAUUUAUCGCCGUAGGAUGGGACUGCGGCCUAUCAGUUUGUUGGUGAGGUAAUGGCCCACCAAGACUAUUACAGGUACGGGCUCUGAGAGGAGUAGCCCGGAGAUGGGUACUGAGACACGGACCCAGGCCCUAUGGGGCGCAGCAGGCGAGAAAACUUUGCAAUGUGCGAAAGCACGACAAGGUUAAUCCGAGUGGUUUCUGCUAAAGAAACCUUUUGUCAGUCCUAGAAACACUGAUGAAUAAGGGGUGGGCAAGUUCUGGUGUCAGCCGCCACGGUAAAACCAGCACCUCAAGUGGUCAGGAUGAUUAUUGGGCCUAAAGCAUCCGUAGCCCGGCUCUGUAAGUUUUCGGUUAAAUCUGUACGCUCAACUUAUGGGCUGCCGAAAA
This 574-nucleotide ribosomal RNA is filed under the name uncultured marine crenarchaeote. RNAcentral describes it as "bacterial SSU rRNA". It matches the Rfam family "Archaeal small subunit ribosomal RNA", at positions 1 to 581 of the family's 1478-position model. Lineage: Archaea; Thermoproteati; Thermoproteota. The record is from RNAcentral.